Ornithodoros turicata is the source of this 658-nucleotide long non-coding RNA. RefSeq lists it as uncharacterized. Lineage: Eukaryota; Metazoa; Arthropoda; Arachnida; Ixodida; Argasidae. The record is from RefSeq and is a predicted model, not a curated record. The transcript has 5 exons.
GGGAAGGUCGACGUUUCUCGUGAAAGUGGAUGACAGACUGCGAUAAGCGUGUGCGGAAUUUGUAGAAAAGUAAACACUGGGCGCGACCGCGCUCAUCUUUCUAGAUCAGCGGAUAUGCAAACAUGCACGCAGGCCACACGGGCCAUUUUGAAUCGUUGUCACGAAGCGUAAUGGAAGGUGUCGUCUGCAAAGUUUUUGGCGGCGGGGUGGAGCCGUGAUUGGAAUUUUUAUUACAUUAAUUACAUUCCUCGUCGAAUCUAUACUGCAGCACUUCAUCUCUUCCCUAAUCGAGGCGGCGCCGAGAUGACAAUAAUGGCCUAAGUUCCACUUGUUCGUCUUCUUCGAAGUUCCUCCGGCCUCUAUCCCUUCCAUCGUUCAUCUUAUUUCAGUUACGCUAGAGAUGCUGCGUACAGAACCCUUCUGCUUUGCUCUGUAUUUCCAAGAAAUCACGGAAAAGGCCUUGGUCUCUCAGCAGCGAGCCCAUGAUCUCGAGGUUGCGCCUAGGGACCUUUCGAGGAUGCAAGCAGAUGGCAGUCGUGGUACAAGAUGCCCAGAUAAUAAGCUGCAGCAAAGAUGUCAUUUGUGCAGGCGAGCCGAGCGGAUGUCCUAUCGGAAAGCAGAUCAAACGAGAGGAAGGGGGGGAGUUCAUGUCGCUACA